CACGUAGUUAGCCGUGACUUUCUCACAGGGUACCGUCGCUGUCUUCUUCCCCUGCGACAACAGUUUACAAUCCGAAGACCUUCUUCCUGCACGCGGCGUUGCUGCGUCAGGGUUGCCCCCAUUGCGCAAUAUUCCCCACUGCUGCCUCCCGUAGGAGUCUGGGCCGUGUCUCAGUCCCAAUGCGGCCGAUCAACCUCUCAGUUCGGCUACAGAUCGUCGCCUUGGUGAGCCGUUACCUCACCAACCAGCUAAUCUGACGCGAGUCCAUCCAUAAGCGAUAAAUCUUUCAAAAUUCUAUGAUGCCAUAAAAUUUCAAUAUGCGGUAUUAGUCCUCGUUUCCAAGGAUUAUCCCCCUCUUAUGGGCAGGUUACUCACGCGUUACUCGCCCGUCCGCCACUUUCCACCCAACAGUUCACCCCGAAGGGAUCACAAAUGGGUUUCUCGUUCGACUUGCAUGUGUUAGGCACGCCGCCAGCGUUCGUCCUGACGCAGGAUCAAACUCU
This 503-nucleotide ribosomal RNA is filed under the name uncultured Bacillota bacterium. RNAcentral describes it as "uncultured Firmicutes bacterium partial 16S ribosomal RNA". The record is from RNAcentral. Lineage: Bacteria; Bacillati; Bacillota.